GGGGUGUGGGUGGGUUGUGGGGUAGAGGGCUGUUGUUGAGUCAUCUGAAACUUUCAAGUCAGUGAUAGUUAAAUAUUUGUUCAAUAAAUUAACAGGAGAUAAAGAAUAAAUGAGUAGUUUAAUAAAGUUAGAGUGUAUCAACUCCAUGAUAUAUUUAAAUACCAAGUUUAAUGCCCUUCUGUUCCUCUCACCUAACAUUCCAAUACUGGCCAAAAUUAUUCAGAUUCAUUUAAUGAUUAAUUCUGAGAAUGCUUUACAGAGUAGUUACUGAGCAAUCUGCUGGCAUAACUACAGUGACCUAGUCUUUGUUUUUAUUUCAGCAGCAUUCAGAAGGCAUAGUAAAUGCAGCAAAUAAUAAACAGUAAAAGCUUCCUCUAUGGAAACCACUUUGCUCUUGACUAACCUUGUACAUGAUUGUGAUAAACGAGGUCCAGGGCAUACCUGUUCACUACCCCCAACAUCUAUAAUCCACAAUGACGCACAAGACUAAUUGCGACGUGCAUUAUGUGAGGGUGGCGAGUGACAGAAACUACAAAUAUGUAACAUCUACCAGUUAUCUUUGCCCUCAAGCAAGAUUGUACUGUGAGAUCCUCCUUAGCCCAAGAGCUGAAGAAAACGACAGCUAUGAAACAAAGAAAACCAUGGAAUCCUUUCAAAGAAAUAGAUCAAACCCACAACAUGCAAAAAAAUGAAGAAAUCACUCAAAUGGCAAAAAAUGAGUGAAAAAACACAGAAUAUUAAACAUCAAACUACAAAGUCAUCAAAAUAGUCCAGGAAUGUUCAGUUCUGCUCAGUACAUUUCAAUCUAGUGCUCUGUCGUUUGUUAUCUUUACCGAAAAUUACCUCCUCGAUCAAAAUUGCACAAAAUUAGCAACAAAAAAGAAGCAACCAAAACACAUCAUAACAUGAACUACAGAGUCUAAUACAGAAACCGCACUGAUAAAACCUUGCUCAAGACCCAAAAACUCCAGCAGCAUCGAAUGAGAAGGAUAAAGAGACCAAUCAAACAUGGGCAUCUUCCUCAAGGAGCAACAAGUGAGAGCUAUAGAGAGACUGGUUAUCUGCUAUGACUGAACAGUUUUAAAAUAUAAAGCCGAGUUGAAAAUGCUUUUUACUUCAUUUUAUUAAAAUGCUCAGUGAAAAAGUUCAAGUUGAAGUGCUAGUUCAAAAUAAUAACUGGGUCACUAACGACUGCAUUUAUUGAAUGAGUAGGUGGUUAUUGUGUAAUCCUUUUGUGAGAGUUACAUAAAUAAAAAUUCAUCACUCAUUGACCAAAUAAGACAUACAUCAACUACAUGUAUAUGAGUGAAAAUGGAAUAGAUGAUAUCUGAUGAUAGUUCAAGCUGAAAGUAGGCUUGUGUAGACUCGAUAGGGCGACUAGCCUGUUUCUUUCACUGUAAAUAGUAUGUAAUACUAUCUAAGACUAUUUGCCUUGCAUUAGAUAGCAGAGCUUUGAUUAUAUCACAAAAAUCUUAACAUUGCUCAACUUAGGCAAGAUGAUUUGAUAUGAAUCAGAGAAAAGGUUUAUAACCUCUGUCAGGUUCCACUCACCAGGUUUGCUUCAAGAGCACACAUGUGGGACCUCUCCAAAUGUUUCCGUGAUAUAAAAAUAAUAUGUAAUGGAGUUUACUAUGAUUCAAGCCUGGGGCCCAAAUGGUUUCAAGAUUAAUUAAAUAUUGAAGUUCCCAAGUUUGGUAAAAGCCCACAAGCCUAAAGGGAAGGAUUUACAACUUCAAAAGUAUGUGGUUUCAAAUAGAGACCUCAUAGGAAUUGCACGACUUUCAAUUUGAUUGUAGUCAAUACAUUCUACUGCCAGCCUGCAUGUGAGCUCUAAAGAACAGGCUGAAGUAAUUGCAACCAUGGUCAGACAGAAGUGCCAAAUAGAUGAUCCACCUUGGCUUCCCCCUGAGGUUCCCACCAUAACAGAGGCCAGUCUCCAGUCAAUUCAACUCACCUUGCAUGUUUUCAAGAUACGCCUGAGAACACUGGGUGCAGCAAAAGAUAUGUACUGAAGAUCUACACUACUGAACUUACUGUACCUCUGGCCAAUAUGUACCAAUCCAAAUACAACACGCUGUCUACCCAGCAAAGUGUGAAACUGGCCGUUUACUGUAUGCCCAGUGCACAAAAAGUAGGAUAAAGUGAAUCUUGCUAAUUAUCAUCCAGUCAGUUCUGGACCUCAUAAGGACCUUGGUCCAAGCAUAGACCUAUGUGCUGAAUUCAAGGGCUGAUGUAGGAGUGACUGUCCUUGACACUAAUACAAUAUUUGAAUGUGAUAUUCAUGGUAAAACUGGUAUCAAUGGACAUGAAGGGUAAAAGGCUCCAUUGGUUGAAGUUAUACCUUGCA
Hypanus sabinus (Atlantic stingray) is the source of this 2347-nucleotide long non-coding RNA. RefSeq lists it as uncharacterized. The transcript has 3 exons. The record is from RefSeq and is a predicted model, not a curated record. NCBI's taxonomy places the organism in Eukaryota, Metazoa, Chordata, Chondrichthyes, Myliobatiformes, Dasyatidae.